CGGGCGAGGUUGCUUCGGUAACUGAGCUAGCGGCGGACGGGUGAGUAAUGCUUAGGAAUUUGCCUAUUAGUGGGGGACAACAUUCCGAAAGGAAUGCUAAUACCGCAUACGCCCUACGGGGGAAAGCAGGGGAUCUUCGGACCUUGCGCUAAUAGAUGAGCCUAAGUCAGAUUAGCUAGUUGGUGGGGUAAAGGCCUACCAAGGCGACGAUCUGUAGCGGGUCUGAGAGGAUGAUCCGCCACACUGGGACUGAGACACGGCCCAGACUCCUACGGGAGGCAGCAGUGGGGAAUAUUGGACAAUGGGCGCAAGCCUGAUCCAGCCAUGCCGCGUGUGUGAAGAAGGCCUUUUGGUUGUAAAGCACUUUAAGCGAGGAGGAGGCUACUUGGAUUAAUACUCUAGGAUAGUGGACGUUACUCGCAGAAUAAGCACCGGCUAACUCUGUGCCAGCAGCCGCGGUAAUACAGAGGGUGCGAGCGUUAAUCGGAUUUACUGGGCGUAAAGCGUGCGUAGGCGGCUUCUUAAGUCGGAUGUGAAAUCCCUGAGCUUAACUUAGGAAUUGCAUUCGAUACUGGGAAGCUAGAGUAUGGGAGAGGAUGGUAGAAUUCCAGGUGUAGCGGUGAAAUGCGUAGAGAUCUGGAGGAAUACCGAUGGCGAAGGCAGCCAUCUGGCCUAAUACUGACGCUGAGGUACGAAAGCAUGGGGAGCAGACAGGAUUAGAUACCC
This 726-nucleotide ribosomal RNA is filed under the name uncultured bacterium. Its description in RNAcentral is "bacterial SSU rRNA". It matches the Rfam family "Bacterial small subunit ribosomal RNA", at positions 67 to 787 of the family's 1533-position model. The record is from RNAcentral.